Molecule: ribosomal RNA, 460 nt
Filed under: uncultured bacterium
Lineage: Bacteria
Description: partial 16S ribosomal RNA
Rfam family: Bacterial small subunit ribosomal RNA
Source: RNAcentral
CCUACGGGGGGCUGCAGUGAGGAAUAUUGGUCAAUGGGCGCGAGCCUGAACCAGCCAAGUAGCGUGAAGGAUGACUGCCCUACGGGUUGUAAACUUCUUUUAUAAAGGAAUAAAGUGAGGCACGUGUGCCUUUUUGUAUGUACUUUAUGAAUAAGGAUCGGCUAACUCCGUGCCAGCAGCCGCGGUAAUACGGAGGAUCCGAGCGUUAUCCGGAUUUAUUGGGUUUAAAGGGAGCGUAGAUGGGUUGUUAAGUCAGUUGUGAAAGUUUGCGGCUCAACCGUAAAAUUGCAAUUGAUACUGGCAGCCUUGAGUGGAGUUGAGGUAGGCGGAAUUCGUGGUGUAGCGGUGAAAUGCUUAGAGAUCACGAAGAACUCCGAUUGCGAAGGUAGCUUACUAAGCUGCCACUGACAUUGAUGCACGAAAGUGUGGGUAUCAAACAGGAUUAGAUACCCUUGUAGUC